This 708-nucleotide unclassified non-coding RNA is filed under the name Hevea brasiliensis (rubber tree). The record is from RNAcentral. Lineage: Eukaryota; Viridiplantae; Streptophyta; Magnoliopsida; Malpighiales; Euphorbiaceae.
UGAUUGAAUCUGUGACAUCAAUUGUUGUUGUGGAAGCUGUGGUUGUGACUGCUGCCCUUGAGUUGUCAACAUAUUAGUUGCAGUUUGCUGCUGCAAUGGAACCUUGGACUGUUGCAGCAUGUGUACAGAGUGCUGAUUAGCUUGCAUGCUUGAGUUGCCAGUCUGGGUUCCAAGCAACUGCUGCUGUUGUUGCUGCUGUAAACCAGGGACAUUACUUUGCGAGCCUAAUUGCUGUUGAUGCAUACUUGGGAGGUUAUUUUGCUGAACCAUUAACUGCUGCUGCUGGUGUUGUUGUUGUUGCUGCUGCAGAUUUUGAAGGUUAUUCUGCUGGCCCAGUAAUCUCUGCUGCUGCUGCUGCUGUAUGUCUCCAACAUUGUUUGGUUGUCCAAUUAACUGAUUUUGCUGCAUAUUAGUGCCAUUAGGUUGUUGGCCCAUUAGCUGCUGUUGCUGAUGCUGGGGGGGCAACAGUUGCUGCUGCAUCAUUGAUGUUUGCUGUUGAUGAAUGCUAGAAGCCUGUUGCAGCUGUUGCUGCCUGAGGACUGAUUGUGGAUGUUGUUGAAGCACGGAUUGUGUUGAUUGUUGAACAGGAGGAGGCUGACCCUGUUGAAGACCAGAAAUUACUGAUUGCAUCAUAGAUGGCUGCAUAACAGAUGAUGUUUGCAUACUUGAUUGCUGAGAAGAUUGCAACUGAGUUGGCUGUAAAAGGUU